AUUUACCUUACAUUACCUCUUCAGUUUCAUUUCAUUCAACAUUAAUUAAACAGUAUCAUUUGGCUUUCCGAUAUAUACUAGAUACUGUUUCAGGCUCUAGAUUUACAGCAAUAAGAAAUACAAUAAACUCAUGGAACUUACAUUCUAGUGUGAAAGAAUAGACAAUAAAAGACAGUAAACAAAAGAAUGUUUGAUGGUGAUAAGGAAUAGAAAGAGAGCAAACCACACAGAAAGAUGAUGGACAGAGAGGUGGUGAUUACUGAUCUUUCUCCAGAGGUGACGUUUAAUCUGAACCCUAACUUACCACAGGGGCCCAGGAGCCAUCGGAAGACCUGAGGCAAAAGCUUUCAGCAGAGGGAACCACAGAACAGAGCCUGAGAAGGUGACCAUGUGAAGACAGAGACAGAACGUGAGGAUGCCAGAUGAGGACAAAGACAAAUCGGAGUUAUGCAGCUACAAGCCAAGGAAUGCCAAAGACUGCCAGCAAACCGUCAGAAGCUAGGAAGAGGCAUGCAUGGACUUUCCUACAGGUUUUCAAGGGAACAUGGCCCUGUGGACACCUUGACUUUGGAUUUAUAACUUUCAGAACUCUAAGUCAUUAAAUAUCUGUUGUUUUAAGCCACCCAA
Non-coding RNA from Macaca mulatta (Rhesus monkey), 627 nucleotides. The record is from RefSeq and is a predicted model, not a curated record. Lineage: Eukaryota; Metazoa; Chordata; Mammalia; Primates; Cercopithecidae.